This 149-nucleotide small nucleolar RNA is filed under the name Echinops telfairi (small Madagascar hedgehog). Lineage: Eukaryota; Metazoa; Chordata; Mammalia; Afrosoricida; Tenrecidae. The record is from RNAcentral.
UUGGAGGCUCUAGUAAACUUAGUAUAAAAGAGCGUUGCUUUGUCUGUAGCCCCACAUCGUUAGAAACGCCUCAUAGAGUAACUCUGUGCUUUGCUUUACUCGCAGAACUGCUAUUGGUUGGAUCUGUGAGAAAGAGCUACAAGACAAAG